UACGUAGGGUGCAAGCGUUGUCCGGAAUUAUUGGGCGUAAAGAGCUCGUAGGCGGCUCGUUGCGUCGGCUGUGAAAACCCGCAGCUCAACUGUGGGCUUGCAGCUGAUACGGGCGGGCUUGGAUUCGGUAGGGGAGACUGGAAUUCCUGGUGUAGCGGUGAAAUGCGCAGAUAUCAGGAGGAACACCGGUGGCGAAGGCGGGUCUCUGGGCCGAUAUCGACGCUGAGGAGCGAAAGCGUGGGGAGCGAACAGG
Molecule: ribosomal RNA, 253 nt
Filed under: uncultured bacterium
Lineage: Bacteria
Description: partial 16S ribosomal RNA
Rfam family: Bacterial small subunit ribosomal RNA
Source: RNAcentral